GACGAACGCUAGCGGCGUGCCUAAGGUAUGCAAGUCGAACGGGAGGGGCAACCCUCUAGUGGCGAACGGUCGCGUAACACGUAGACAACCUGCCCCCGCGUGGAGGAUAACAGCGGGAAACUGCUGCUAAUACCGCAUACGGUGGGAAGCGGCAUCGCUUCUUUACUAAAGGAGUAAUUCGCGUGGGGAGGGUCUGCGGCCUAUCAGCUUGUUGGUGGGGUAACGCCUACCAAGGCGGUGACGGGUAGCUGGCUGAGAGGAUGAUCAGCCACAC
RNAcentral lists this ribosomal RNA (274 nucleotides) under uncultured bacterium. RNAcentral's name for it is "partial 16S ribosomal RNA". It matches the Rfam family "Bacterial small subunit ribosomal RNA", at positions 28 to 313 of the family's 1533-position model. The record is from RNAcentral.